This 22-nucleotide microRNA is filed under the name Ornithorhynchus anatinus (platypus). RNAcentral's name for it is "oan-miR-1375-5p". Lineage: Eukaryota; Metazoa; Chordata; Mammalia; Monotremata; Ornithorhynchidae. The record is from miRBase by way of RNAcentral.
UGCUUCCUGUUGGGCUUCCUGC